This 61-nucleotide transfer RNA is filed under the name Agramma hupehanum. RNAcentral's name for it is "tRNA-Ala". It matches the Rfam family "tRNA". From Rfam's summary of the family: Transfer RNA (tRNA) molecules are approximately 80 nucleotides in length. Their secondary structure includes four short double-helical elements and three loops (D, anti-codon, and T loops). The record is from RNAcentral. Lineage: Eukaryota; Metazoa; Arthropoda; Insecta; Hemiptera; Tingidae.
GAAAAUAUAGUUAAAUAUAACAUUUGAUUUGCAAUUAAAAAUUACCACAAGGUUAUUUUCA